Molecule: ribosomal RNA, 253 nt
Filed under: uncultured bacterium
Lineage: Bacteria
Description: partial 16S ribosomal RNA
Rfam family: Bacterial small subunit ribosomal RNA
Source: RNAcentral
UACAGAGGGUGCAAGCGUUAAUCGGAAUUACUGGGCGUAAAGCGCAUGUAGGUGGUUAUAUAAGUUUGAUGUGAAAGCCCCGGGCUUAACCUGGGAAUGGCAUUGAAUACUGUAGGACUUGAGUCGGACAGAGGGCAGUGGAAUUUCCGGUGUAGCGGUGAAAUGCGUAGAGAUCGGAAAGAACAUCAGUGGCGAAGGCGUCUGCCUGGGUCCAGACUGACACUUAAGUGCGAAAGCGUGGGGAGCAAACAGG